Molecule: ribosomal RNA, 461 nt
Filed under: uncultured bacterium
Lineage: Bacteria
Description: bacterial SSU rRNA
Rfam family: Bacterial small subunit ribosomal RNA
Source: RNAcentral
CUGGCGGCGUGCUUCAUACAUGCAAGUCGAACGAUAAGGUCUCUUCGGAGAUACAUAAGUGGCGGACGGGUGAGUAAUGUGUAGAGAAUCUGCCCUAGAGCGGGGGACAACAGAGGGAAACUUCUGCUAAUACCCCAUAUGCGCGUACUUGAGAUAGUAUUCGUGAAAACUCCGGUGCUCUAGGAUGAGUCUGCAUCUGAUUAGCUAGUAGGCGGUGUAAUGGACCACCUAGGCGACGAUCAGUAGCUGGUUUGAGAGGAUGAUCAGCCACAAUGGGACUGAGACACGGCCCAUACUCCUACGGGAGGCAGCAGUAGGGAAUUUUGCGCAAUGGGGGAAACCCUGACGCAGCAACGCCGCGUGAAUGAAGAAGCCCUUCGGGGUGUAAAGUUCUGUCAGUGGGGACGAAACUUGACGGUACCCACAGAGGAAGCAUCGGCUAACUCCGUGCCAGCCGCGGC